This 315-nucleotide signal recognition particle RNA is filed under the name Chlorocebus sabaeus (green monkey). RNAcentral describes it as "Metazoan signal recognition particle RNA". It matches the Rfam family "Metazoan signal recognition particle RNA". Rfam says of the family: The signal recognition particle (SRP) is a universally conserved ribonucleoprotein. It is involved in the co-translational targeting of proteins to membranes. Lineage: Eukaryota; Metazoa; Chordata; Mammalia; Primates; Cercopithecidae. The record is from Rfam by way of RNAcentral.
GCUGGGCAUGGUGGCGCAUGCCUGUAGUCCCAGCUACUCGGGAGGCUGAGGCAGGAGAAUUUCUUGAACCUGGGAGGUGGAGGUUGCAGUGAGCCAAGAUCGUGCCACUGCACUCCAGCCUGGUGACAGAGCGNNNNNNNNNNCAUUUAAAAAAAAAAAAAAAAAAAGUACAGUAUUAACAACUGCUAUCACUAAGGUUUUUUUUUUUUUUUUUGUAGACGGAGUCUGGCUCUGUCACCCAGGCUGGAGUGCAGUAGCGCAAUCUUGGCUCACUGCAACCUCUGCCUCUUGGGUUCAGUGAUUCUCCUGCCUCAG